RNAcentral lists this microRNA precursor (81 nucleotides) under Bombyx mori (domestic silkworm). Its description in RNAcentral is "mir-2807 microRNA precursor family". It matches the Rfam family "mir-2807 microRNA precursor family". Lineage: Eukaryota; Metazoa; Arthropoda; Insecta; Lepidoptera; Bombycidae. The record is from Rfam by way of RNAcentral.
UUAACGAAUAUUUGUAUGGAAUUGGAACGUUUGCCUAAGUUUGCCGCUAGGGACGCUGUUCUCAUUGCAUAAUUUGAGUUA